Molecule: ribosomal RNA, 1963 nt
Filed under: human gut metagenome
Description: bacterial LSU rRNA
Rfam family: Bacterial large subunit ribosomal RNA
Source: RNAcentral
GAUUAAGGGCGCGCGGUGGAUGCCUAGGCUCUCGGAGGCGAAGAAGGACGCGAUAAGCCGCGAUAGUCCACGGCGAGGUGCAAGUAACCCUUGACCCGUGGGUUUCCGAAUGGGGCAACCCGGCCGUCUAGAUGACGGUCAUGCAUUAUCAUGCAGGCGAACGCGGGGAACUGAAACAUCUCAUUACCCGCAGGAGAAGAAAACAAAAUGUGAUUCCCCCAGUAGUGGCGAGCGAACGGGGAAGAGCCCAAACCGGUAGCGUUUCGGCGAUACCGGGGUCAUGGGACCACGCCAUUCGAAACAAGAUGAAGUGCAAUUACCUGGAAAGGUAAGCCGCGGAGGGUGAUAGCCCCGUGCACGUCAAUUCUUGUGGAGAUAGUGGAAUCCCGAGUAGGGCGGGACACGAGAAAUCCUGCCUGAAUUCGCCAGGACCUCCUGGCAAGGCUAAAUACUCCCGAGAGACCGAUAGUGAACCAGUACCGCGAGGGAAAGGUGAAAAGUACCCCGAGCAGGGGGGUGAAAUAGACCCUGAACCCGCGCGCCUACAAGCGGUCGGAGCUGCCUUGUGCAGUGACGGCGUGCCUUUUGCAUAAUGAGCCUACGAGUUAGUCGUCACCAGCGAGGUUAAGGGCUUCAGGCCCGAUAGCCGAAGUGAAAGCGAGCCUUAACAGGGCGUAAAGUUGGUGGCGCUAGACGCGAAACCUUGUGAUCUACCCACGAGCAGGUUGAAGUCGCGGUAACACGUGAUGGAGGACCGAACCGGUAAACGUUGAAAAGUUUUCGGAUGACUCGCGGGUAGGGGUGAAAGGCCAAUCAAACUGGGAAAUAGCUCGUACUCUCCGAAAUGCAUUUCGGUGCAGCCUGUGAUGUUCUGUUCCAGAGGUAGAGCUACUGGUUGGACGCGAGGGCUUCACCGCCUAUCAAAUCCGGAUAAACUCCGAAUGCUGGAACACGAAAUCAUGGAGUGAGCCCGCGGGUGCUAAGGUCCGCGGACGAGAGGGAAAGAACCCGGACCACCGGCUAAGGUCCCGGAUGGACAGUUAAGUUGAUCAAACGAGGUGGGAUCGCGGAGACAGCUAGGAUGUUGGCUUGGAAGCAGCCAUUCAUUUAAAGAGUGCGUAACAGCUCACUAGUCGAGCGAUCCCGCGUGGAUAAUACACGGGCAUCAAACUGUCAACCGAAGCCGUGGGGUCAGCGAAAAGCUGACCGGUAGGAGAGCAUUCCUGCCAGCGUUGAAGGUCACCCGCGAGAGUGACUGGAGCGGCAUGAAAAGCAAAUGUAGGCAUAAGUAACGAUAAUGGGGGCGAGAACCCCCCACGCCGCAAGACCAAGGAUUCCCCGGCAAUGUCAAUCAGCCGGGGGUCAGCCGGCCUCUAAGGCUAACCCGAAGGGGGAUGCCGACGAGAAACGGGUUAACAUUCCCGUGCUUCUCGUCACCGUGACGCGGUGACGGGGUGAUGAAUGGACCGCGCGCUGACGGAAUAGCGCGUUGAAGGCCGUACCCUUCGAGGGUGGUAGUCAAGCACGCCACCCGAGGCGACAGCCGAUAGUACCUCGAGGCCUCGGCCGAGGGGAUAGCGUCCAGGCAAUUUACCCCCUAGAAAACCCGCUAAACUUCAAGUGACGAGGAACCGUACCGUAAACGGACACACGUGGUCGGGUAGAACAUACCAAGGCGCUCGAGUGAUUCAUGGUCAAGGAACUAGGCAAAAUAGUCCUGUAACUUAGGGAUAAAGGACGCUCUAGUGAUAGAGCCGCAGAGAAAUGGCCCAGGCGACUGUUUACCAAAAACACAUGGCUAUGCCAAAUCGAAAGAUGACGUAUAUGGCCUGACACCUGCCCGGUGCCGGAAGGUUAAGAGGAGAGCUCAUCCGCGAGGAGAAGGUUUGAAUUGAAGCCCCGGUAAACGGCGGCCGUAACUAUAACGGUCCUAAGGUAGCGAAAUUCCUUGUCGGGUAAGUUC